RNAcentral lists this unclassified non-coding RNA (403 nucleotides) under Hyptis microphylla. Its description in RNAcentral is "partial external transcribed spacer". The record is from RNAcentral. Lineage: Eukaryota; Viridiplantae; Streptophyta; Magnoliopsida; Lamiales; Lamiaceae.
GCGACGGCAUCUCCUCCACGCCUCUUCGUUCGUGGGAGCAAGCUUGUACUUGUCCGUGGUCGGGUUUUCCUGUGUUGCAUACCUAUUUCGAGGGUAUUCGGUUGGCUAUAGUGGUCCCACUCCGCCUUGUGUCGGUGCUCCGUGCGGGCAUUGGGCACGGGGUGGAUCUCACGGCUUGCGUUGUGUUUCGCGCCGCAUUCAUCUAUCUAAAUAGGUGUUUGGGUAGGCGACCCAUGACGUGAUGCGCGUUGUCUCGGGUANGGAACAUCGGGUUGGNUCNAGGCAUUGUCCNUUGAUCUCCACACAAAUGCGUUCUACGCUUUAUGCGAACGACGGCUGCACACGACCUCCGGCCGAGCACUCGCUGCUCGGGCGAAGUCGUGUUGGCGUCAAUGAGGGAUGC